AUAAAAUAUAAAAAUUAUUGAUUCCAAAUUUUGAGCAGUUUCUUUACUAAAUAUGUUGCCCUUUUUAACUUGUAUGAUCUAUCAAUGUGCAGAAACCUCACAGUCCUGUACCUAUAUGACAACCAAAUAUCACAAAUCUGCAACUUUGGGUUUGCCUCAAACCUUACACAAUUAUACAUGCAAAAUAACAAUAUAUCUUGCAUAAAGAACCUCUCUUCUCUGCAUAACCUUUCCAAAUUGUAAGUAUGAAAAUACAUGCAUAUUAACACAUUCCUGCUUGCACUGAAAUUUGAACUGUGACAUUAAUGUUUUCCAUUGAAAAUAUACAUACAGCACUACUAAAUGGCCAUGAGUGUUAGCGUUAACUACUAAUGUUUCUAUAUUUGAGGUUCUUGGGAGGAAACAGCAUCACUGUGGUGGACAGAUUAGAUGAAAAGCCUGAAGUAGCUGCAUGUGGAAGGUCAGAAUCUGACCCGUGGAGAAAAGCUGGUCUUUGACCCCCGUUCCGUAUCUAGACUCUCUGAAACUCUGUGCAUUUUAAAUAUCAGCAAAAAUAACACUGAUGAAAUAUGGGACUUGGCCCCUCUCAGAAAACUGACCUAUCUUUAUGCUACUGAUAACCAGCUACAGGACAUACAGAAGAUCUUGAUGGAAAACAAAUAAAUGAGCUGUCUAGGCAGUUUCUAAUCAACUGGAAGCUUGAGAAAAAAAAACCCAAAGAACAACCUAGAUGAUGGAAAAGACAUCAAAGAACCAAUCACAAAUCCACUUACAACUGAUUUUCGCAUGGGCCCCCUUCAUCCCUUUGCCCAUGAACGCAGCAGCGCUCUGAGCCGUCAGAAUAUGGGAAGCCCGGCGUUACAUUUCGAGUACAAGGAGACAGCAGAGAAAAAAGGUCAAGAGGGAUACAUUUUCCACUGAGGACUGACAGACUCUAAAAAUCUGAAACUACUGAAUAAAAAUGUGAAUAGCUUCUCAAUGUAUACUCU
Long non-coding RNA from Carassius auratus (goldfish), 989 nucleotides. RefSeq lists it as uncharacterized. The transcript has 5 exons. The record is from RefSeq and is a predicted model, not a curated record. Lineage: Eukaryota; Metazoa; Chordata; Actinopteri; Cypriniformes; Cyprinidae.